AUUCGCUCCCUCCCCCAAAUUGCCCCAAAUCCUAAUAAUUAGCCCCAAAUCUCCCCCGGAACCCCCAAACCCCGCAGUUUAGCCCCAAAUCACCCUGCCCCUCCCCAAUUGCCCCAAAUCCCUUAAAUUAGCCCCAAAAUUCCUCCCCAGAGCCCCCAGCCCCUCCGCAAUUUUCCCCUUUCCUCAAAUUGCCCAAAAUCCCUUAAAUUAACCCCAAAUCUCCCCACGUGGUUGCACCCAGGCCUUUAUUGCAAGGUUAUGGGGCAGGAUAUGGGGCAGGGUGGUGGUGGGGGGGGGGGCGGGUGGGGGGGGGGCUGGGGGGGGGGGGGGGAGAUGUGGGGCAGGCCUGGCCGUGGGGCAGCCAUGGGGCUGGCUAUGGGGCAGAUGUGGGGCUGGGGUAUCUAUGGGGCAGCCGUGGGGCUGGCUAUGGGGCAGGGUGGUGGUGGUGGGGAGCAGAUGUGGGUCUGUCCGUGGGUCAGAUCUGUCCGUGGGUCUGUCCAUGGGGCAGCUGUGGGGCAGGCCUGGUUGUGGGGCAGCCAUGGGGCAGCUGUGGGGCUGGGAUACCUAUGGGGCAGCCGUGGGGCAGGCUAUGGGGCAGGGCAGGGGGGCAGGUGUGGGUCCGGCCAUGGGUCCGAUCUGUCUGUGGGGCAGCUGUGGGGCAGUCAUGGGGCAGAUGUGGGGCUGGGGUAUCUAUGGGGCAGGUGUGGGUCCGGCCAUGGGUCCAGCCGUGGGUCCGAUCUGUCCGUGGGGCAGC
Molecule: long non-coding RNA, 754 nt
Filed under: Anas platyrhynchos platyrhynchos (common mallard)
Lineage: Eukaryota; Metazoa; Chordata; Aves; Anseriformes; Anatidae
Description: lncRNA (ENSAPLG00000022920.1)
Source: RNAcentral